GACGAACGCUGGCGGCGUGCUUAACACAUGCAAGUCGAACGCUGAACCCGCUUCGGUGGGGGAUGAGUGGCGAACGGGUGAGUAACACGUGGGCAACCUGCCCCCGGCUCUGGGAUAACUCCAAGAAAUUGGGGCUAAUACCGGAUGUGACCGCUGGCCGCAUGGUCUGGUGGUGGAAAGGGUUUCCGGCUGGGGAUGGGCCCGCGGCCUAUCAGCUUGUUGGUGGGGUAGUGGCCUACCAAGGCGACGACGGGUAGCCGGCCUGAGAGGGUGACCGGCCAACCGGGGAGGGAGACACGGCGCAGACCCCUGGGGGGGGAAGAAGGGGGGAAAAUUGCGGAAGGGGGGGAGGCCUGACGCGGCGACGCCGGGGGGGGGAGGAGGGCCUUGGGGUGGUAAACCUUUUUCAGCAGGGACGAAGGGAAAGGGACGGUACCGGAAGAAGAAGCCCCGGCCAACUACGU
Molecule: ribosomal RNA, 464 nt
Filed under: uncultured bacterium
Lineage: Bacteria
Description: partial 16S ribosomal RNA
Rfam family: Bacterial small subunit ribosomal RNA
Source: RNAcentral